CUGAACUGGGGCUUCCUCUGAAGAGAGGAAAGUUUUGCCUUCAAGGUGGAGGCAGGAAAAAGGGAAAUAUUACAAGAAGCAUGAAGAUAUGAGAAGAGGUAAAUCUACUGUGAAUGUUAUGAGCCAAGCCCAGAUCAUCAACUUCAAACAGAAUUGGAGGUACCUGUAGAGAGUUAUACUGGCAGACAGGAAUUUACUAAAGCC
RNAcentral lists this long non-coding RNA (204 nucleotides) under Capra hircus (goat). Its description in RNAcentral is "lncRNA (ENSCHIG00000007706.1)". The record is from RNAcentral. Lineage: Eukaryota; Metazoa; Chordata; Mammalia; Artiodactyla; Bovidae.